RNAcentral lists this ribosomal RNA (491 nucleotides) under uncultured bacterium. RNAcentral describes it as "bacterial SSU rRNA". It matches the Rfam family "Bacterial small subunit ribosomal RNA", at positions 95 to 606 of the family's 1533-position model. The record is from RNAcentral.
GUGGCGCACGGGUGAGUAAUGUAUAGGUAAUAUGCCUCUUACUAAGGGAUAACAAAUGGAAACGUUUGCUAAUACCUUAUACUCCUUAUUAACCUAAGUUAAUAAGGGAAAGAUUUAUUGGUAAGAGAUUAGCCUGUAUUGUAUCAGUUAGUUGGUGGGGUAAUGGCCUACCAAGACUAUGACACAUAACUGGUUUGAGAGGAUGAUCAGUCACACUGGAACUGAGACACGGUCCAGACUCCUACGGGAGGCAGCAGUGGGGAAUAUUGCACAAUGGACGAAAGUCUGAUGCAGCAACGCCGCGUGGAGGAUGACACAUUUCGGUGCGUAAACUCCUUUUAUAUGAGAAGAUAAUGACGGUAUUAUAUGAAUAAGCACCGGCUAACUCCGUGCCAGCAGCCGCGGUAAUACGGGGGGUGCAAGCGUUACUCGGAAUCACUGGGCGUAAAGAGCAUGUAGGCGGAUUAAUAAGUUUGAAGUGAAAUCCUAUA